AACUGCAACUUGAUGUGCUUUCCA
Molecule: non-coding RNA, 24 nt
Filed under: Arabidopsis thaliana (thale cress)
Lineage: Eukaryota; Viridiplantae; Streptophyta; Magnoliopsida; Brassicales; Brassicaceae
Source: RNAcentral